This is a long non-coding RNA of Cercocebus atys (sooty mangabey), 1611 nucleotides long. RefSeq lists it as uncharacterized. The record is from RefSeq and is a predicted model, not a curated record. NCBI's taxonomy places the organism in Eukaryota, Metazoa, Chordata, Mammalia, Primates, Cercopithecidae. The transcript is spliced from 3 exons.
AUAACUGCUGUUCCCUCUGCUGGGAAUUUUCUUCCCCCAAUUAACCACAUGCCUUUCCUCCUCACCUUCCAGGUCUCUCUUCAAAUGUCACCUUCUCGGGUAGGAUUUCUUGAGUGCUCUAUUUUAAGUUAUAAAUAGAUGCCUCAUGCUGGCAUUUCCUGCCUUGCUUUCUUCCAUAGCACUUCCUGCCAUCUGAAAUGCUGCUGGUUUACUUUGAUUGCCUCUCUCCUCUGAAAGACUGGAAGUUCCUCGAGGGCAAUGAUUUUGUUGCAAGGCUAAAUCCUCAGUACCUGAAACAUACUUCACACUUGAUCACUUUCCUGGAUCCCUGGGAUCUUCCUGGGAUUCUUGCCAAAUCCAGUUUCCAGUUCCCAGGAUGGCCACAAUUUUGCUGAAAUAUCUGAACACUCAGCAUCAAUAUAAACAUUGGAAUCACUUCAAAGAAUGUUUUACGCAUUGGACAAAUGCAAGAUAGACACCAUAAAUGCUCACCUACUGCAACUAUCUAAAUAUCUACUUUGAUCUCAUCCUCUUGAAUGAUUUUGAUCAAUGAUAAUGACUGGGAGAAGAGAUUAAAGAUAGGAAAAAUGAAGAAAUGCCAAGUUUUACAGUAUCCCAUUGUGAAACAUUACAUUAAACCACAUUUAUCAAUAAAUAAAUGGUCUUCUAUGUUUCCUUGAGCUGAGGCCUUGAGACUGUCCUUGUGAAUACAAAAUGAAAAUUAGAAAAACAGACACUUCAUAAUGAACAUCAGUAGGAUCUGUAUAUGGUACUAAAGGCAUAAUUCAUUCAAAAGGCUGAGCAACUGACAAUCAAUGCUUUGAGCACAAAUUCACAUUAUGAUUUUGACAAAUUCACACUAUCAUUUUCAAAAGAAAUAGUGAGGCAAAGCUAUAAAAUUCUUUUAUAAAAAAGAAAACUUACUGGGAUGUGUGAAGGCAAAAUCUUGGACUCUGCUUUUAUUACCAUUUUGCUCUUCCAAAAUGAGCAAAUCAUCUACAGAAGUAAAAGAUUUAGUAGUAACUUUAUUCUGAUGAGCUAGAAUGAGAGUAGAGCCAGAAUAGAGAUUAGAAACUCAUCAAGGGGAUGGAAUCAGAGUGAACAGUUGUUGGCAUUUGUUAUCUGGAGUCAUCUAUGAAGUAAUGUGAGCUCAGGAUGCUAACACAUGGUCUAUGACUAAAAAAAUAGUUGCAGAAACAAGAGUGAGGCAAGACAUUGACUUGCAGAAGGUUAUGAUUUUGAAAUUCAUUAAGGUUUUCAGGUUGGUUGUGGGCCCAGACUAAUGCUUAGGAAAAGAUCUAGGGGCUGCUUGAAUGCAACCCCAACAAGUUAUAUGCCUGUAAAACUUGCAGAUCUGAAUAUCUCACAUUUACAACCCAUAGACAUGAAGAGAAAGUAUCGCGAAAUUAGUAAGAGAUUUGGACUCAAGGGUUUCCUCGGCAACUUAUAAAACAUAUGUAUCCGAGUUGAUUUUUAAACUUCUCUAAGGCUCAUUUUCUGAUUGGCAAAAUGGCAAUACCACUAUACCACUAUUACCACCACCAUUACUACUCCUAGAAUAAAAGUGAUCUAAAGCUAUUGAGAUAUAUCAAAAACAUAUUUGAAAGCAUU